UACUGCUAUCAGUGUUCGAUUAAGCCAUGCGAGUUAAAUGUUCUUCGUGAACAUGGCGUACUGCUCAGUAACACGUGGAUAACCUGCCCUAAGGUCCGGCAUAACCCCGGGAAACUGGGGAUAAUACCGGAUAAACCAUAGAUACUGGAAUGUUCUGUGGUUAAAAGUUCCGGCGCCUUAGGAUGGAUCUGCGGCCUAUCAGGUAGUAGUGGGUGUAAAGUACCUACUAGCCGACGACGGGUACGGGUUGUGAGAGCAAGAGCCCGGAGAUGGAUUCUGAGACAUUAAUCCAGGCCCUACGGGGCGCAGCAGGCGCGAAACCUUUACACUGCGGGAAACCGCGAUAAGGGGACACCGAGUGCCAGCAUACAAUGCUGGCUGUCCACAUGUGUAAGUAGCAUGUGAUAGCAAGGGCCGGGCAAGACCGGUGCCAGCCGCCGCGGUAACACCGGCGGCCCGAGUGGUAAUCACUAUUAUUGGGUCUAAAGGGUCCGUAGCCGGUUUAAUCAGUCUUCCGGGAAAUCUGACAGCUCAACUGUUAGGCUACCGGGGGAUACUGUUAGACUU
Molecule: ribosomal RNA, 567 nt
Filed under: uncultured archaeon
Lineage: Archaea
Description: bacterial SSU rRNA
Rfam family: Archaeal small subunit ribosomal RNA
Source: RNAcentral